AGUCGUACGCACUGGCCCACUGAUUGAUGGUGCUUGCACCUGAUUGACGAUGGAUCACCAGUGAGUGGCGGACGGGUGAGUAACACGUAGGUAACCUGCCCCGGAGCGGGGGAUAACAUUUGGAAACAGAUGCUAAUACCGCAUAACAACAAAAGCCACAUGGCUUUUGUUUGAAAGAUGGCUUUGGCUAUCACUCUGGGAUGGACCUGCGGUGCAUUAGCUAGUUGGUAAGGUAACGGCUUACCAAGGCGAUGAUGCAUAGCCGAGUUGAGAGACUGAUCGGCCACAAUGGAACUGAGACACGGUCCAUACUCCUACGGGAGGCAGCAGUAGGGAAUCUUCCCCAAUGGGCGCAAGCCUGAUGGAGCAACACCGCGUGAGUGAAGAAGGGUUUCGACUCGUAAAGCUCUGUUGUUGGAGAAGAACGUGCGUGAGAGUAACUGUUCACGCAGUGACGGUAUCCAACCAGAAAGUCACGGCUAACUACGUGCCAGCAGCCGCGGUAAUACGUAGGUGGCAAGCGUUAUCCGGAUUUAUUGGGCGUAAAGCGAGCGCAGGCGGUUGCUUAGGUCUGAUGUGAAAGCCUUCGGCUUAACCGAAGAAGUGCAUCGGAAACCGGGCGACUUGAGUGCAGAAGAGGACAGUGGAACUCCAUGUGUAGCGGUGGAAUGCGUAGAUAUAUGGAAGAACACCAGUGGCGAAGGCGGCUCUCUGGUCUGCAACUGACGCUGAGGCUCGAAAGCAUGGGUAGCGAACAGGAUUAGAUACCCUGGUAGUC
RNAcentral lists this ribosomal RNA (778 nucleotides) under uncultured bacterium. RNAcentral's name for it is "bacterial SSU rRNA". It matches the Rfam family "Bacterial small subunit ribosomal RNA", at positions 60 to 795 of the family's 1533-position model. The record is from RNAcentral.